RNAcentral lists this ribosomal RNA (253 nucleotides) under uncultured bacterium. RNAcentral describes it as "partial 16S ribosomal RNA". It matches the Rfam family "Bacterial small subunit ribosomal RNA", at positions 524 to 776 of the family's 1533-position model. The record is from RNAcentral.
UACGGAGGGUGCAAGCGUUGUCCGGAAUCACUGGGCGUAAAGGGCGCGUAGGCGGCUCAUGAAGGCUGUGGUGAAAGUCCGGGGCUCAACCUCGGAUCGGCCGUGGCGACUCGUGGGCUGGAGCACUGUAGAGGCAGGUGGAAUUCCGGGUGUAGCGGUGGAAUGCGUAGAGAUCCGGAAGAACACCAGUGGCGAAGGCGGCCUGCUGGGCAGUGACUGACGCUGAGGCGCGAAAGCGUGGGGAGCAAACAGG